RNAcentral lists this transfer RNA (95 nucleotides) under Actinoplanes flavus. Its description in RNAcentral is "Actinoplanes sp. NEAU-H7 tRNA-Tyr". The record is from RNAcentral. Lineage: Bacteria; Bacillati; Actinomycetota; Actinomycetes; Micromonosporales; Micromonosporaceae.
AACGGGUUGGAUGUUCUGGCAGCUCACGGCGGGCGUGCCACGUUGACUGUAAAUCCGUCGCGAAAGCUACAGAGGUUCGAAUCCUCUACCCGCCA